GCUGAGGAUUCCAGACUUGUUCUGGAGCCGAGUUGGGUUAAAGGAAGCUUCUAAUCCUAAAGUCUAUUUUUUGAUUAGAUCUCAAAUCAGGUAGGACUACCCGCUGAACUUAAGCAUAUCAAUAAGCGGAGGAAAAGAAACUAACAAGGAUUCCCCUAGUAGCGGCGAGCGAAGCGGGAAGAGCUCAAAUUUAUAAUCUGGCACCUUCGGUGUCCGAGUUGUAAUCUCUAGAAGUGUUUUCCGCGUUGGACCGCACACAAGUCUGUUGGAAUACAGCGGCAUAGUGGUGAAACCCCCGUAUAUGGUGCGGACGCCCAGCGCUUUGUGAUACACUUUCAAUGAGUCGAGUUGUUUGGGAAUGCAGCUCAAAUUGGGUGGUAAAUUCCAUCUAAAGCUAAAUAUUGGCGAGAGACCGAUAGCGAACAAGUACCGUGAGGGAAAGAUGAAAAGCACUUUGGAAAGAGAGUUAACAGUACGUGAAAUUGUUGGAAGGGAAACGCUUGAAGUCAGACUUGCUUGCCGGAGCUUGCUUCGGUUUGCAGGCCAGCAUCAGUUUUCCGGGGUGGAUAAUGACGGUUUGAAGGUAGCAGUCUCGGCUGUGUUAUAGCUUUCCGUUGGAUACGCCCUGGGGGACUGAGGAACGCAGCGUGCUUUUUGCGAAAGACUCGUCUUUUUCACGCUUAGGAUGCUGGUGGAAUGGCUUUAAACG
Molecule: ribosomal RNA, 709 nt
Filed under: Rhodotorula diobovata
Lineage: Eukaryota; Fungi; Basidiomycota; Microbotryomycetes; Sporidiobolales; Sporidiobolaceae
Description: LSU rRNA
Rfam family: Eukaryotic large subunit ribosomal RNA (bases 77-709)
Source: RNAcentral